Molecule: long non-coding RNA, 1625 nt
Organism: Lutra lutra (Eurasian river otter)
Lineage: Eukaryota; Metazoa; Chordata; Mammalia; Carnivora; Mustelidae
Exons: 3
Source: RefSeq, a predicted model, not a curated record
CGCACCCCCUCUCGUCCUGGCUGCGUGGGCCCCGCUUACCCCCGGAGCAGGAGACUCGGAGCCCGGCAGGUCCCACACUCCACGCGAACUGAAUUCCCGCCCGUCUCCUGCCCGGGCGGCCAAGAGGCGGCGGCGGGGAUUGCGGGCUCCGGGAGGCGCUAGGGCUCCGAGAAGCAGCGGAGCCCCGCUCUCCUCCCUCCGCAGUGCCGCUGCCGGCGGGCCGGGAUUCCCGCGGGUCUCGGCGGCGGCGAGCGGGAGGCGGCGCGGGUCCCGGCUCGGUUCCGGCGCGGUUGUUCCCCUCGGCCUUCUCGCCUCCCGCGCUUCCACCCGGCACGGAGCUCUCCUCUGCACGCCUCCCUGGCCCGUCCCGUUUUCCCUCUUCUCCUUCUAGACCUAGCGUCGCAACUCCGCCAACCUACGGCGGCCCCGAGAGCGCGUCCGGCGCGGGCCGAGUCCGACCGGCCCUGGCUUUCCGCCUCGUACAGGUUCCCCUUCCUCCGGGCUACGCGGACCAGGACUCAUGGCUGACCUGGGACAGAUGGAGUGACCUGUCCUGCGCACUCCCAGAGACGAGGUUUGGGCCAAUUCAGGCAUGUGGCGAAGAGGCAGAUUUUGGUUCAGUUCCAGGAAGAACUUUCCAACAGUUGCUGAUGCUUUAACCAUGAAGGAGGCGAAAAAGGAGUUUCAGUCCCCGGAGACCUUGAGCAGAACACGGACUUGCCAAGGAAAGCUGUAGAAGGGAGCCAGGCUCCAGAUGGGUGUCCUCGUUGAUUUCUGGGGGUCCGCGAACCCCAAGAGCGCGGCUCCCCAGAGGUGGUGCUGCUCCCUUGGAGCCUGUCCCCUGGCUCGUUUUGCUACAUACUCAGCCCGAGAGUACUUGUGGUGCUUAAAAUGAGCAGUUCUGUAAAGCUCCCUCUUGUAGAUCUGGCCCAGGCUGCUGUGGCGAUAACAGAUGAGACUUGGAAGCCCACUUCAGCCUCUGGAGAGGGGCUCCCUACGUCCAUCUCCCAUGUGGACUCAGCCCCAGAGCCACACAAGCUCCUGGCCUUUUAAAGUUAUCAUCUCGCCCACUGCAUAUUAAUCCUCACCCCCAGCAGCAGUGAGAGCGAGAUCAGAUGACUUUUUCUCCUUUCCUUUUCGGCGUCCCUCCCAGCCCUCCUUCCUGCUAAAGGGAGACCUGACCACCUGCUGGAAGAUCUGUUGGCUUGGACUUUGGAGCACGUGUGCCCCAGCUCAACUGUUUGCUGUUGGUCCCUCUGCCAUCACUGGAACUCUUCUGGGAUGUGAAUUGGGGCUCCCUGACCCCUGUCUGGGUUUGGAUUCCAGGCUUCCCCGACUAGACCUCCCUGCCCAGUUGCCUCAGUCCAUUCCCAGGCAGCCUCACCUGGAUAUGGUUCCCUGCACGUGUGGCUGCCCUGCAGGGACAGGGACUGUCUUCCCUACCUGCCCCAGGCUCCCAAGCCCCAGCUCACAGCUGUGCUGGAACAGGAGUGUGAUGGAUCAUUCCGGUGCCUCAGCUCUUAUCUUGCCGUCAUCAAAUGCCUCCCCUCCCCUUACAGUCCUCUCCCUUCACCGAUGGUUUUGGAUGGAAUUUAAAAUAAAAAAGAUUGAUUAAAAGUUGGAAA